GGUAGAGUGGCAUAGUGGGUUGAGUGUUGGUCUAUGACUCUGGAGACCAGGGUUCAAAUCAUGGCUCGGCCA
Phrynosoma platyrhinos (Desert horned lizard) is the source of this 72-nucleotide non-coding RNA. NCBI's taxonomy places the organism in Eukaryota, Metazoa, Chordata, Lepidosauria, Squamata, Phrynosomatidae. The record is from the annotation of a GenBank genome assembly.